GCAGGUGGUGAAGGAGUACAGUAACAGCAAAUGCCACAGUGCGAGAUUCUGCCCUUCAGAGGUGCUGAAAGCCCCUUGGACUUGAAGAAUAUACUGAAUUUCCACUGUCUUCAGCAGAAGAAGAAAAUAUUCAGCACCAGACAUUUCAGAUGAAAUCCAGCUGAAUCACUGGGCCAGCAGCCACCCCAAAUAAUUGAGGCCAUUCAUUUCAGAAGAAUUAUAUCAAUGUUGUUUGCCCAGGAAGCAGAAGACUCUAGACUAGUCACCCAAGCAGUGACUUCGGGACUGGAGACCUGUAAUUUGAAUCACUAAUAGCUUUCCUGCUGCUCUUCAUCCAUGCAAGUUCAUUUUGCUUGAGGUCAUCUGAUGGACAUGGGACCAAAUGAGAAAUACUUCAAGCAUAUGAAUGAAGAUAACAAGUGGAGAAAAGAAGAAAAGAAUCAAAUUCAGUGGGAGGAGAAGGAGGAAGGAGGUGACAAGGAAAUGGUAACUCCCCAGUGUAAAUACCCUAUAUAGCUCUCCUACUCAGAGUCUGCAUUAUAAACUGAGGGUUGUCCAAAGUCUCAUUCCCUCUCCUCUUGCUCAUCUCCACUCCAUGUGACUCCAGCCCAGAGGAGGCCUGCUGAGACUGCGUCUCUGUGUCUGUGCACAAAAGGACCUCUUGUACCUGCUCAUCUUUCGGGUAUGUUCUUCAUUCAACACCACCAGGAAUAUGUUUCUGAUUAGCUAGAAAAAGAACAUGUUCUAUUUCACAUUGAACCUCCCUUCAGGGAAAAGCAAACAAACGUGUUUAAAUUGCAGGAAGAAAAAAUUCACCAAUUCAAAGCAGUCUGAUGGGUCUCUAAACUCAAAACAGAAGCAUGGGAGGUUUGCCCACCGGUAUGAAUAUGUGAGUCUGAAUCACCAGAGAGGGAGGCCAGCAUGCCAGCAGAGCUCUCCCUUCGCUGUGUCAGGAAAAAUCAAGGGCCCUGUGUGAACUGGGAAUUCAUCAGUGUCUGGCAGUAAUCUCCACACACAUCUCUGCUGUCUGCAGGCAGGCAGUCUUGCAAACAGAUGAGCAUUGAGCCCAUGCCCCGGGGGAUGUUACCACCCCUCGGACCUGCGAGACACCGAACCCGGCAUCCCUCCGUCAGAGCCCCUUCUGUACCUGCUCCUGUUCAUCACUGAACUUGUCCGUAGAAACUAUUAGAUAAAACAACCUUUGCAAGCCUCUAAAUAAUAGCUGUGCUGCAGUAACAAGCCAGUCAUGUCUUUCAAAAGCUUGGGAAAAGUUGUACUCUGUUCAAAACAAUACUUUUAUUUCCAACUUUUUAACAGAGACCAGCUUCUAAAUAUGAUAUCGUUUUGCUAGUCUUUCUGGAAGUCAACCUUUCUGACUGUUUUUCUUUGGCAUCUGCUAUUCCAGCAAGGAAUGAUCUUAAUAAUUUUAUAGAGAGUUGGUUGGAUUUUUCAUCUUGCAGUUAUUAGAAAAGCAAUGCUCAUGAAUUGGUCAGUGUUUCCAAUAUAUUACAGUUUGCAUCUCCAAAGUUGAAGCAAUAAUGAUUUUAUUCUUUUUUUAUUUGGGCACAUCGUAGGAACAACACAAAUUUUCAGUUUGGCCUGCCUGUAGGCUCUGUCCUGCCCUGUUUGCUGGCUUCUCUGCUUGUCCUUUGUGCUGAGUGACAGCAAAAAGGUUUCUUCUCAGUAGGCAAAAGGGUUAUGGGUUUUUUUGUUCUGUCUGGCAUCUGUUCACAAAAUAAAAACCCACAAAAUUGAAGGCAUGAUGUCAUAGAGAUGUAUCCGAACUUUAAACCUCUGCUGAUGCUGCAUGUCUCAGUUUGGGAGGAGGGGUAGUAUCAUUAGAUACCUUAAAUUAACCUGAUUUUCAGGAAAUACAGAUUCUGAAAGGGGUUCCCUUUUAAAAGUACAUCGAAGUAGGCAAUUCCAUUCAAACUUUUUUUGGACAGCAAUUUUUUCUCUUUUUCUUUUGUCUGUAUCUGUUCAAUUUUACCACCUUGUUCUUGCAAACCUUUUCUUCAGCUGUGGAAUUUCCAUACCUAAUAGCUAAACAUCAAGUGAAAAGUUGCUGCUGUCUUAAAAGGAUCCUAAAAACAUGCUUCCCUCCUUUCCAUCUAAUAACUCUGUGAGGCAGGCAUAGACAUCCUAGUAACUGACAUCUAUUUUAAUUGUGAAACUAUUAUAUGAAAAUACUCAUUAAAUUCUUAUUAAGGAGCUAUUUUUGUUUCAUUGUGCAUUUUUUUUCCAAAAUGCAAGUCAUCUGAGUCAAAAAUAUUAUCACAGCAGGAUUUUCCCAUAGGAUAUAUGCUCUGUUUUAUUUUUUACUCAUUUUGUCCUUUGUAUUUAUAUGUUUAUUUUUUAAUAAAUAUUUGUAUGUAGUGCAUUCAGUAACCACAGCAAUGCCUGUUUCUAGUGAGAAUAGAGUAUUAACAAUAUCUGAGGCUUGGUAGCCACCUUCAUGUAUUUUUCAAGGGAUGACAAAAUUCAAGCCAAAGACUUCCCGCUGCCCACAGUGCUUCUCCAUGCAGUACCAAGAGACAUAACAUGCAGGGACAGUGCUGCUCUCCUAAGAAUACCUAAUGCUGCAUAUUCCAUAGCUCUUUAGAAAAAAAGGUAUCUGAGGGGUCAGAAGGAGAGGAGGAAAGAGGCUGAGGGAUGUGGUCAGGCUUGAGACACAGAGAUUGUUCAAAAUUGACCAUACAGAAGAUACUGAGAUGCUACUUCACUAAAGUUUAACAUCUCAGCUUUAUGCUUUGAUACAGCAGUCCCUUUUCUCCUCUGUCUCUGAACUGAAAUCCCAGUUAGAGCUUUUCUUGGAUAAAACCAGUAUGAACAGCGUUAGGGGUUCAAUUUCCUAUUAUUGACAUAAAGACAUAUGCAAGUAAUGUAAGGGACAUAAAUGUAAGCAAUGUAAGGAUCUUAAAAUGACAUGCAGCUGGACUUUGUAAAGCUGAGAAGUCCUAUCUUGUUCUUCAUAAUUCCUUAGUGCACCCAUCAAUGCAUAUAACUGUGGAAUGGGAAUUUUACAGACAGAUAUUGAAAUUAAAAAUAUAUUGAUCAUUUGUGACAUUAACAAUUUAUUGUCUGUUGCAGCACCUGGCUCUCUGCUGUGUUGAACAUGAACCAUUACAGUUGCCUCAAAUACUUAAACAGAGGUCAGGCCCUAAAAUAAAACAGAAACCCAACUGUGCUGUCUCAGUCAGCCUCUCUUCUGUCCUUAGAAAUGAGCUUGAUCUUUCUCAAAUUACGUUAUCUCACUUCUCCCUGUUGAAGACUUUUUCCAUUGUGAACUCAGACAAUUAGUUUAAAAUUGUGCCUUUUGCCUGUUGUGGACACUCUUGCUGUAGCACAGAGAUAAAACUCUCUCUUUAUGGAACAGCAAAUAUGAUCAUCUUUUAU
Molecule: long non-coding RNA, 3396 nt
Organism: Prinia subflava (tawny-flanked prinia)
Lineage: Eukaryota; Metazoa; Chordata; Aves; Passeriformes; Cisticolidae
Exons: 5
Source: RefSeq, a predicted model, not a curated record